RNAcentral lists this ribosomal RNA (497 nucleotides) under uncultured bacterium. RNAcentral's name for it is "bacterial SSU rRNA". It matches the Rfam family "Bacterial small subunit ribosomal RNA", at positions 8 to 518 of the family's 1533-position model. The record is from RNAcentral.
AGAGUUUGAUCAUGGCUCAGGAUGAACGCUGGCGGCGUGCUUAAACACAUGCAAGUCGAACGAAGUUAAGUGAAACCUAGUGAUCUUAACUUAGUGGCGGACGGGUGAGUAACGCGUGGGUAACCUGCCGCAUGCAGGGGACAACAGUUGGAAACGACUGCUAAUACCGCAUAAGCGCACGGGACCGCAUGGUCCAGUGUGAAAAGAUUUAUCGGCAUGCGAUGGACCCGCGUCCGAUUAGCCAGUUGGCGGGGUAACGGCCCACCAAAGCGACGAUCGGUAACCGGCCUGAGAGGGUGAACGGCCACAUUGGGACUGAGACACGGCCCAAACUCCUACGGGAGGCAGCAGUGGGGAAUAUUGCACAAUGGGGGAAACCCUGAUGCAGCGACGCCGCGUGAGUGAUGAAGUAUUUCGGUACGUAAAGCUCUAUCAGCAGGAAAGAAAAUGACGGUACCUGACUAAGAAGCCCCGGCUAACUACGUGCCAGCCGCCGC